This 497-nucleotide ribosomal RNA is filed under the name uncultured bacterium. Its description in RNAcentral is "partial 16S ribosomal RNA". It matches the Rfam family "Bacterial small subunit ribosomal RNA", at positions 28 to 507 of the family's 1533-position model. The record is from RNAcentral.
GAUGAACGCUGGCGGCGUGCCUAAUACAUGCAAGUCGAGCGAACAGACGAGGAGCUUGCUCCUCUGACGUUAGCGGCGGACGGGUGAGUAACACGUGGAUAACCUACCUAUAAGACUGGGAUAACUUCGGGAAACCGGAGCUAAUACCGGAUAAUAUAUUGAACCGCAUGGUUCAAUAGUGAAAGACGGUUUGGCUGUCACUUAUAGAUGGAUCCGCGCCGCAUUAGCUAGUUGGUAAGGUAACGGCUUACCAAGGCAACGAUGCGUAGCCGACCUGAGAGGGUGAUCGGCCACACUGGACCUGAGCCACGGUCCAGACUCCUACGGGAGGCAGCAGUAGGGAAUCUUCCGCAAUGGGCGCAAGCGUGACGGAGCAACGCCGCGUGAGUGAUGAAGGUCUUCGGAUCGUAAAACUCUGUUAUUAGGGAAGAACAAAUGUGUAAGUAACUAUGCACGUCUUGAAGGUACCUACUCAGAAAGCCGAGGCUCAACCCAUG